UGGUGCGUUGCGGUGCCUAGC
RNAcentral lists this unclassified non-coding RNA (21 nucleotides) under Chlamydomonas reinhardtii. RNAcentral's name for it is "small RNA Cre_3474". Lineage: Eukaryota; Viridiplantae; Chlorophyta; Chlorophyceae; Chlamydomonadales; Chlamydomonadaceae. The record is from RNAcentral.